UGGUGGUAAUUUCCACGACCCAGGUUAGGGCUAUAAAAUGGUCUGUCAAGCCUCAGUCUACAUCCAUCAAUAAACCUUAUGGCACAGACGCAUCUUUUCAUCUGAAGACCUUGACAAUCAGUGCAGUUAAGUCUAACCUACAAAACCUGCAAGAAAAGACUUAGAAAAUGGGUCAAAGUCAUACAGUUGAAGUGGACCAUGAAUCGCGACAACGGGCAGACGUGGCAGAAGCAGAAAAGAGAAGAUUUGAGCAGGAAUGCCUUCGGCUCAAGGGGGAGAAAGCACGAAUGGAAACCGAACAACGGAUGGACAAAGAACAACGAGAGGYGCUGGAGAGGCAGAGAAAAAUACAACUUCAAUCCCAAAGAAAGCAAGAAGAAGAUGAAAGGACCAGGAUACAUGCAGAACUGAAAGCAUCAAAAUAAAGAGAUGAAACUGAGGGAGAAAAGUAGAUGAUUAAACUUUAGAAAAUACAUUGAUGAGUAGACUACUAAAGAAUAUUGUUAAUCGAUGAAAACAUUACUCUGAACAUGGCAGCAGCUAAAAGUCACMUUAAAUUACUGUAACUAUAAGGAGUAGUCUUUCUAUAUUCUAACAUAUUUUAAAGUAAAAGCGAUCAAUUUUUUUGUUUGUUUUGUGAUAUCUCCCUUCAAAGUAUACAUGAAAGAAAAAAACGAGGAAAUGUGACAACCGAAUUACCACAGCCAGUGGAUGAGGCGAAGGCUGAAAAAAGAAAUUUUAAUUGCAUAGAACAAUUCCCGGAGAACAAAGCAGAGUCAGAAAGAAACCUCAUUCAGGACGAAUUGGAAUGAGUCCAGAUGGAGAAAGUAAGAUGGCAGAACAACWGAAGCAGGACCAAGGCAAGAGAAGAAGAAAUCUAUUGAAUCCCAAAGAAAGCAGGAUGAAAUGCAUGUGUGGCAAACAAAAGUCUAUUAACCAAAAAUUAUUUGAUAUCUUGGGCAAUAAAAGCAAGUUUCUGUGUGCCUUUGUAUUGGCCUUACCUUUCAUGUAAUGUUAUUCUCUUGUCUGGCAAUAGCAGUAAGGCCUGUGGUAUGAUUAUCCAAGCAAAUGUGUAAAUGUAGUCAGAUGUAGCUUCAUGUCAUCUAAUAAAGUAUAGAUCUUUUGGCAUAAUGACCUACAUCUUGUGGGAAUUAAUGCAGACAUAKUUUUUUACAGAUACAAUUUAAGACAAACUUUGGUAAGAUUGGUCGUAACAUUUUUUUACAAGCGUAUAACUUACAUUUGAUUGACUUUGUUUUUUUCACCAUUUGUUUCAAACUGUAUUGUCCAAUAAGAGGAGCCUGGUCUCACCAUACACGGUCAUAUAUUUUUGUUACAUCUGAAUAAACUAUCGUUCAUA
Salvelinus sp. IW2-2015 is the source of this 1360-nucleotide long non-coding RNA. RefSeq lists it as uncharacterized. The record is from RefSeq and is a predicted model, not a curated record. NCBI's taxonomy places the organism in Eukaryota, Metazoa, Chordata, Actinopteri, Salmoniformes, Salmonidae.